Molecule: long non-coding RNA, 633 nt
Organism: Carassius auratus (goldfish)
Lineage: Eukaryota; Metazoa; Chordata; Actinopteri; Cypriniformes; Cyprinidae
Exons: 3
Source: RefSeq, a predicted model, not a curated record
AAAAUAAUUUUUGAAACAUUUUGGAAACUGACAAUUAAAUAUUGACUCAACAAAUUGCUUUCAAAUAAUUAUCCCCAAACAAAAAGAUGCAUUGGGGUAAUUUUAGCUUAUGGUCCAAAGGUAAAAUUAAAAAUAUAUAUUCUCUGAACAUAUUAAAUUGUGUUCAGCCAAUUAAUCAAGUACAAGUGAAAUAUCUGUGUUUGCUGAACAAGCCUUGCGGAGAAAAAAACGCACCUGAGAGAAACCGUUGGUAAUGGUAUAGUAGUGGAUUCAAAUAUAUCUGCGCGGGAGAGAUGAGGAGACUGGGGAGUCGAUGCUGAAGUACGACGACAGAAGUUAAGACAUCAUUUCCAAACAGAUUUUUCUUCAUUUAAGUUAUGCCAAACAUCCUAGGUCUGACUAAACGGAACGACUAACGUAAUGACUUUCACAGUUUAGAAGAAGUCCAUGCAGUGCUGCUUCUGCAAGUAUUCAUCACCUCACCAAGACCUAAUUUUCAAGCACUACAGAACUUGCAAUUGGUCAGUUAAUGCAACUUCCUUUCCAUGUUUACACCUAGAAUGUGUUUGCAUUUUCAAGACAAUUGGAGCUUUAAAAACAAAUUUGUGGAGGGUACAUCCAAAGACUGGCAAC